UGGGGAAUAUUGGACAAUGGGCGCAAGCCUGAUCCAGCAAUGCCGCGUGGAUGAAGAAGGUCUUCGGAUUGUAAAGUCCUUUCGGCGGGGACGCGGUACCCGCAGAAGAAGCCCCGGCUAACUUCGUGCCAGCAGCCGCGGUAAUACGAAGGGGGCUAGCGUUGCUCGGAAUGACUGGGCGUAAAGGGCGCGUAGGCGGCGGUAUCAGUCAGGCGUGAAAUUCCUGGGCUUAACCUGGGGGCUGCGCUUGAUACGGUAUUGCUUGAGUGCGGAAGAGGGUGGUGGAAUUCCCAGUGUAGAGGUGAAAUUCGUAGAUAUUGGGAAGAACACCGGUGGCGAAGGCGGCCACCUGGUCCGUGACUGACGCUCAUGCACGAAAGCGUGGGGAGCAAACAGGAUUAGAUACCCCGGUAGU
Molecule: ribosomal RNA, 415 nt
Filed under: uncultured bacterium
Lineage: Bacteria
Description: bacterial SSU rRNA
Rfam family: Bacterial small subunit ribosomal RNA
Source: RNAcentral